AACGAACGCUGGCGGCAUGCCUAACACAUGCAAGUCGAACGAGACCUUCGGGUCUAGUGGCGCACGGGUGCGUAACGCGUGGGAACCUGCCCUUAGGUUCGGAAUAACUCCCCGAAAGGGGUGCUAAUACCGGAUAAAGUCUUCGGACCAAAGAUUUAUCGCCUUUGGAUGGGCCCGCGUUGGAUUAGCUAGUUGGUAGGGUAAAAGCCUACCAAGGCGACGAUCCAUAGCUGGUCUGAGAGGAUGAUCAGCCACACUGGGACUGAGACACGGCCCAGACUCCUACGGGAGGCAGCAGUGGGGAAUAUUGGACAAUGGGCGAAAGCCUGAUCCAGCAAUGCCGGGUGAGUGAUGAAGGCCUUAGGGUUGUAAAGCUCUUUUACCCGGGAUGAUAAUGACAGUACCGGGAGAAUAAGCACCGGCUAACUCCGUG
This 433-nucleotide ribosomal RNA is filed under the name uncultured bacterium. RNAcentral describes it as "partial 16S ribosomal RNA". It matches the Rfam family "Bacterial small subunit ribosomal RNA", at positions 29 to 507 of the family's 1533-position model. The record is from RNAcentral.